This 513-nucleotide ribosomal RNA is filed under the name uncultured Hanseniaspora. Its description in RNAcentral is "eukaryotic LSU rRNA". It matches the Rfam family "Eukaryotic large subunit ribosomal RNA", at positions 62 to 574 of the family's 3401-position model. The record is from RNAcentral. Lineage: Eukaryota; Fungi; Ascomycota; Saccharomycetes; Saccharomycodales; Saccharomycodaceae.
AAACCAACUGGGAUUACCUUAGUAACGGCGAGUGAAGUGGUAAAAAGCUCAAAUUUGAAAUCUGGUACUUUCAGUGCCCGAGUUGUAAUUUGUAGAAUUUGUCUUUGAUUAGGUCCUUGUCUAUGUUCCUUGGAACAGGACGUCAUAGAGGGUGAGAAUCCCGUUUGGCGAGGAUACCUUUUCUCUGUAAGACUUUUUCGAAGAGUCGAGUUGUUUGGGAAUGCAGCUCAAAGUGGGUGGUAAAUUCCAUCUAAAGCUAAAUAUUGGCGAGAGACCGAUAGCGAACAAGUACAGUGAUGGAAAGAUGAAAAGAACUUUGAAAAGAGAGUGAAAAAGUACGUGAAAUUGUUGAAAGGGAAGGGCAUUUGAUCAGACAUGGUGUUUUUGCAUGCACUCGCCUCUCGUGGGCUUGGGCCUCUCAAAAUUUCACUGGGCCAACAUCAAUUCUGGCAGCAGGAUAAAUCAUUAAGAACGUAGCUACCUCGGUAGUGUUAUAGCUUUUGGAAUACUGCU